GUACCAGAUGGUGCCCUGAGGGACUUGGAUGUUCCCAUCUCUGCUCCAACGCUACUAAAGAGGUGUAAGCUGCAGAGCUGGGGCUGUGGAUUGGUGUCAGUGUCACAAGUGCUUCCAGGUAAUGCUGAGUCUCAGCAACUUCGUGAGAGCUGGAUGUGAUGGGCUUGUGCCACUGCAAAAGAAUGGUUCCUUAUGUUGAACAAUGCUGAAAUGCAUGCAGGGUUCAGAAGACAGACUUGUAUCUGCUUUAAGCUUGGAAACUGGAAAAAAAAAAAUUAGAAAUGAUGACUGCAUAGAUUUCCUGAUUCUUUCCGGCAUGAAAACUCCUUUCCUGGGAGUUACAGACGUGGUCCCUGCCAAGGCAGUAUAUCUCAGUGAUACAGAGACGGACCGAGAUUGUUUCCCAUUUCCCAUCAACAGCCAAGGGAUGUGGCAAACGAAUAUUACAGGGCCCUGA
This 457-nucleotide long non-coding RNA is filed under the name Anser brachyrhynchus (Pink-footed goose). Its description in RNAcentral is "lncRNA (ENSABRG00000016727.1)". The record is from RNAcentral. Lineage: Eukaryota; Metazoa; Chordata; Aves; Anseriformes; Anatidae.